Molecule: ribosomal RNA, 253 nt
Filed under: uncultured bacterium
Lineage: Bacteria
Description: partial 16S ribosomal RNA
Rfam family: Bacterial small subunit ribosomal RNA
Source: RNAcentral
UACGUAGGGAGCAAGCGUUGUCCGGAAUCAUUGGGCGUAAAGCGCGCGUAGGCGGCCCGGUAAGUCCGCUGUGAAAGUCAAAGGCUCAACCUUUGAAUGUCAGCGGAUACUGCCGGGCUAGAGUCCGGAAGAGGAGAGUGGAAUUCCUGGUGUAGCGGUGAAAUGCGCAGAUAUCAGGAAGAACACCCGUGGCGAAGGCGGCUCUCUGGGACGGUACUGACGCUGAGACGCGAAAGCGUGGGGAGCGAACAGG